GAUCAUGCCUGCUGCAGAGGGGACACAGAAAUGGGUGCAUGCACAUUUAUGGCAGGAUCAGAGUGGAAUUUCUAAUCCCUGUAGCUUCGAAAUGAGCAGGACAGCUCCUCACAGCCUGUGUGUUGGAAACUCUCACUGGCAGUUUUGGAAACAAGGUGUGAUGAAGCCCUGGAUGGUUUCUGCAGCUGGAGGCUUUCACAGCAGCCACAGCCACUUCCCCUGAGCAGUUCUGACACUUGUGGAGCUGUGGCUGAGUCGGGAUUAGGGGCAGGGAUAAAAGCUCUCCAGUGGAGCAUCCCGAGGGAGCAGCAUUCCAAACCGGCAUUCCAAGGCAUUCCGAAGCAUCCCAAGGGAUUCCAAACCAACAUUCCAAAGUCUUUCCUUCCAGGGAGCCUGUCCUGUUGACAGACCAGCCCCGAUCCCUGCUCACCUCCGGCUCCUGCCAGCACCACACCCUGCUGGAGAGCUCCGAGAUGAGGGAGCCAGGAGCAGCAGUGAGGGGCAGGGAUGGAGCAGGGAUGAGCUGCUUGACGAGCAGGGGAAAGUGCUGCAUGGAUAUUGUGUUGUGCUUGGCUAUGAUAAAGCUCGUGUAUUUACACAGGCCAGAUUAAAUAUCUGUAUUUUAUAGAAAGAGAGGGAGAAGUUAUGCUUCGUAAAACUCUUCAAGGACAUGAAAGGCACUGAUCUAUUUAAUCAUUAUUUUUGUAACUGAGACAUGAGCCUAUUCUGUGGGUAGGGUGAGGGUUUUUUAAUGCCAAUGGAUUGCCAGUGUCAUUUCACAACUCCUCAUAUUUGUCACAUUUCUCUUACUUUAUUCCAACUCUGAAUAAAAAUAUAUGAGAAAAAGUCA
This 850-nucleotide long non-coding RNA is filed under the name Junco hyemalis (dark-eyed junco). RNAcentral describes it as "lncRNA (ENSJHYG00000007154.1)". Lineage: Eukaryota; Metazoa; Chordata; Aves; Passeriformes; Passerellidae. The record is from RNAcentral.